GUACCUUUUGUAUAAUGGGUCAGCGACUUAUAUUCUGUAGCAAGGUUAACCGUAUAGGGGAGCCGAAGGGAAACCGAGUCUUAACUGGGCGUUAAGUUGCAGGGUAUAGACCCGAAACCCGGUGAUCUAGCCAUGGGCAGGUUGAAGGUUGGGUAACACUAACUGGAGGACCGAACCGACUAAUGUUGAAAAAUUAGCGGAUGACUUGUGGCUGGGGGUGAAAGGCCAAUCAAACCGGGAGAUAGCUGGUUCUCCCCGAAAGCUAUUUAGGUAGCGCCUCGUGAACUCAUCUUCGGGGGUAGAGCACUGUUUCGGCUAGGGGGUCAUCCCGACUUACCAACCCGAUGCAAACUGCGAAUACCGAAGAAUGUUAUCACGGGAGACACACGGCGGGUGCUAACGUCCGUCGUGAAGAGGGAAACAACCCAGACCGCCAGCUAAGGUCCCAAAGUCACAGUUAAGUGGGAAACGAUGUGGGAAGGCUCAGACAGCCAGGAUGUUGGCUUAGAAGCAGCCAUCAUUUAAAGAAAGCGUAAUAGCUCACUGGUCGAGUCGGCCUGCGCGGAAGAUGUAACGGGGCUAAACUGUGCACCGAAGCUGCGGCAGCGACGCUUAUGCGUUGUUGGGUAGGGGAGCGUUCUGUAAGCCUGCGAAGGUGUCCUGUGAGGGAUGCUGGAGGUAUCAGAAGUGCGAAUGCUGACAUAAGUAACGAUAAUGCGGGUGAAAAGCCCGCUCGCCGGAAGACCAAGGGUUCCUGUCCAACGUUAAUCGGGGCAGGGUGAGUCGACCCCUAAGGCGAGGCCGAAAGGCGUAGUCGAUGGGAAACGGGUUAAUAUUCCCGUACUUGGUGUUACUGCGAAGGGGGGACGGAGAAGGCUAUGUUGGCCGGGCGACGGUUGUCCCGGUUUAAGCGUGUAGGCUGGUUUUCCAGGCAAAUCCGGAAAAUCAA
Molecule: ribosomal RNA, 949 nt
Filed under: Salmonella enterica subsp. enterica serovar Kentucky
Lineage: Bacteria; Pseudomonadati; Pseudomonadota; Gammaproteobacteria; Enterobacterales; Enterobacteriaceae
Description: partial 23S ribosomal RNA
Rfam family: Bacterial large subunit ribosomal RNA
Source: RNAcentral